UCAAUAAAUCCCUUAAUAACUUCUUAAACAAAAAAAACUUGCAAGUGCAAAUAUCUCUGAAACUAAAAAAGCUAGAAAACCGCAAUUUGGUACAAACGUUAUACAGGGAGAGCGAACCACAACCACCAUAUUUUUGGUUAUAGGGUUUCGUAUAAACUGCCGAUAGAAGAAAAAGUCAAGAAAACGCCGAGAAAAUUUCAUGAGUAUUAAAGUUGGUCUGCGAAAAAAUAUGCAAUAAAAAUACCUCGAGAGCGAUAUGAAAUUUUGAACAUUUGGUAUUAGAGGUAGUCGACUGCACAAUACGUCCGCCUUCUCCUAGACUGUAUGAAAACCUGAAAUGAAAAAAUUUGAAUCUUGGAUGAUGUCUCAAGACUUGUAAAAAUAUUUUGUUUUCGUCACGAUAUAUUGCCUUUUACUGGUUUGUAUAUGGUAAUAAUACAAUAUUAUUUAUUUAUAAUAGAAUUGAAACAAUUUAAAAUAUAAUUCGUUUUAUAUUGUGUAUA
Molecule: long non-coding RNA, 503 nt
Organism: Anthonomus grandis grandis
Lineage: Eukaryota; Metazoa; Arthropoda; Insecta; Coleoptera; Curculionidae
Exons: 2
Source: RefSeq, a predicted model, not a curated record